This 324-nucleotide long non-coding RNA is filed under the name Olea europaea (common olive). Its description in RNAcentral is "long non-coding RNA (OEUR_LNC013714)". The record is from RNAcentral. Lineage: Eukaryota; Viridiplantae; Streptophyta; Magnoliopsida; Lamiales; Oleaceae.
CCCCACUCACUUUUCACUUCUUUCCAUAAUUCCAAUGGCCUCUCUCUGUGCUUGUCCCCUCAUGACCUCACACAUUUAUUACCAGAUUACCAUAUAAAAACUAUAAAGCCAAACUAGAAUUGUAUAUUGGGACCUGCAUAUCUCUCCCUCUCUCCCUCUCUAUCCAAAAGUAUAAUGAAGUGUUUAUGUACAUGAUUUUCUUGAACUUCAUUAAUCAUUUUCUUUGUAUUUAAGAAAAAGAAAGGAAAAAUGGGUAAGAAAUGGAUCAUUCUACUUGUUACUGUUGUUUUACUUGGUGAGUUCUCAUUAGCUGCUGCUGCUGCC